Molecule: long non-coding RNA, 446 nt
Filed under: Physcomitrium patens
Lineage: Eukaryota; Viridiplantae; Streptophyta; Bryopsida; Funariales; Funariaceae
Description: long non-coding RNA (PPAT_LNC011694)
Source: RNAcentral
AAAUUAAAGAAUCUAAAAUCUAGACUAGAACAAGAAAAGAAUUGAAAAGAGUGAAGGAGACUUUAUUCUUGCUUCUAUAUGUACUAUCCACUUAGGAUUAUGUAACAACGUUCUAUAGGACCUUUAAUAUGUGUUGACUUUGUAAGCCACGUGUUUUAACUUACAAGGCAAGUUUUCUAUGUGUAUGCUACACAAUCAAAUUUUUUCACAAGCUAUCUAUACGUGUGAUAUGUGGCUAACUUAUUGAUCAAAUUUUUAAUCUAAAAAUCAAUUAUAAACAUGUAUAAAGUCAAAAUUAUAUCUAUGAAGCCUCUAAAGAGCUUUAUUAUAAGAUAUUAUGAAAUUAAUCUAAUUUUAUCUAUUUUAUUUACUUCUAUUUAAUUAUACAGGUAAUUACUAGAAUAAGUAUGUAUAUUUGUGAUAUUACCUUCCAUUUUGGAAAUAAA